GAUCCUGGCUCAGGAUGAACGCUAGCGACAGGCUUAACACAUGCAAGUCGAGGGGCAGCGGGGUAGCAAUACCCGCCGGCGACCGGCGCACGGGUGAGUAACGCGUAUGGCAACUUACCUAUCAGAGGGGGAUAACCCGGCGAAAGUCGGACUAAUACCGCAUGAAGCAGGGCCCGCAUGGGGAUAUUUGCUAAAGAUUCAUCGCUGAUAGAUAGGCAUGCGUUCCAUUAGGCAGUUGG
RNAcentral lists this ribosomal RNA (239 nucleotides) under uncultured bacterium. RNAcentral describes it as "partial 16S ribosomal RNA". It matches the Rfam family "Bacterial small subunit ribosomal RNA", at positions 15 to 252 of the family's 1533-position model. The record is from RNAcentral.